RNAcentral lists this long non-coding RNA (875 nucleotides) under Arachis ipaensis. Its description in RNAcentral is "long non-coding RNA (AIPA_LNC000219)". The record is from RNAcentral. Lineage: Eukaryota; Viridiplantae; Streptophyta; Magnoliopsida; Fabales; Fabaceae.
UCAUUUUAAAAAAUUAUAAUGAUAGAGACAAUGAGACAUACAGAGAAGUGCCGAUAUGGCGAUAUGAAUCUGCGACUUGGUAAAGAGGCGAACCCUAAUUCAAAACUUAUUAAGUAAAAGGUUUAUCACCGAUCUCAGAGAGCACGGUCAUGGCCAGCGACUUGCUAUAACCCUGAUUGAAGAAAAAGAAUAACAGGAUUGGCGUUCAAAACAGAAUACGCAAAUCCAUAAAAGAGAAAGUUAAAAUUGAGCAAAUAAUGAAAAUAAAUUAAAUUGAAAUCUGUAUUACCUGAACAAUUGAGCUCAUAUUGGCGGAAGAAAGAAGAAGAAGCGGCAAAAGAGAAGAUAAAGCAGACCGCAGACGUGAGUGUGGGAUUCGGAAAAAUAGCUUGCAGCAACGGAAGGAGAAACUCAGCCUUGGAACAUGGGUAAGUUAUUACAAGGAUGAUAAAGGGUAGUUAAACUUGCAGAGUAAAGCCAUUAAAGCUACAAGCUCAUGGAUCAUGUUUAGCAUAUGGAACACUUGUGAAGCCUACAAUCUUCAACUUUAAAAGUCACAAACCCUUAAGUUUCUUCAUAGAACUUUAAACCAAGCAAGAGAUAAGAUCUUCCCUUGUCUCAGUCUGAGAAUGUCAGUUAGUGAUGAUGACUCAUCACUUGGUAGACCCUUUGGGUUUCUCUUCAUCUAUGCACUCCAUGGAGAGGAAGAAAACCUUGAGGAGCUAAUGGAAUCCAUGUGGAAGUUCACAUCAAGAUUGGGAGAAAGUAUUAAGGAUUGCAGAGUGGUUGUGACUGAGCUCGGGUUAGGUGAUCCACUUGCAAACCAUGUCCCUCAAACAGCAUCUAUGUCAUGCAUCUAUGAUCUCUGGUUCACA